This 253-nucleotide ribosomal RNA is filed under the name uncultured bacterium. RNAcentral's name for it is "partial 16S ribosomal RNA". It matches the Rfam family "Bacterial small subunit ribosomal RNA", at positions 524 to 776 of the family's 1533-position model. The record is from RNAcentral.
UACGUAUGGGGCAAGCGUUAUCCGGAUUUACUGGGUGUAAAGGGAGCGUAGGCGGCAGGGCAAGCCUGAUGUGAAAGCCCGGGGCUCAACCCCGGGACUGCAUUGGGAACUGCCCUGCUGGAGUGCCGGAGGGGCAGGCGGAAUUCCUAGUGUAGCGGUGAAAUGCGUAGAUAUUCGGAGGAACACCGGUGGCGAAGGCGGCCAACUGGGCUUUAACUGACGUUGAGGCCCGAAAGCGUGGGGAGCAAACAGG